UUCAAGGGAUUGGUAUCCCCGUGCAAGGAGGUUGGCGAGGCCUCAGGGGACUCCCAGUUCAGCGAAUCCGUUAGCCUUCCUCUGCCUUAGUCACUUCCCCGUGAGGCACUCCGUGUUUGUGUACACGGUUAUUCCACGUGUCAGUCAGUUCAUCGGGCGCAUCCGGAGUCAUUGAAAACAGUAAUAGGAAGUCAAACAAACCCGCUUGAUGCAAAAAUUCAGGAGGACAUUCGGUUUUUAAGGAAAUAGUGCUGAGGAAGGACCAGGCUGGAGCUCCUUGGACCCUGAGACUGGGAGCUAUUGUUGCAGCUCAGACUUCAUCCUCUUUCUCCUGGACUGUUGCUUCCUCCUCACUGCAGACCCAGAGGAACCUUUCGAACACCCAAACCCGUUCUCCCAUGGUUCAAAACCAUUCCAUAAUUUCCAUGACUUCCCCCAUUGACGUGGGAGGGAGUCCGAGCUCCUCAGCUUGGCAUUUGAGGCUCUUUGAAGAGGGCUACUUUCUCAUGUUUUGAUGGAAGUCAAGAAGAUACCAGUGGAAGAGGGGCUGUGCACUACAAUCCCUUGUGCAUUUGAAUUUCCCAAAGAACCCCCAAGCAAUUCCAUGAUCAUGCACUACUGGCUCAACAAAAACAUCAGCUCCCUGGUAGCUACAAAUAAACCCAAUGCUACCAUUGGUGAUAACACCAAGGACAAAUUUUACAUGACUGGGAAUCUUGAUGAAGAAGACUGUACCCUACUCAUCCACGAUAUACUCAAAGGGAACAGCAUAAUAUAUUUAUUCUACGCAGAUCUAGGAGAACAAAAAAGUGCUUUCCUGGGGGAGAAUAUCAAACUUUUUGUGUCAGGUGAUGUUCAAUAUCAUCCGAUAAGUGGUUUGGAAAGAAGGAAAUC
RNAcentral lists this long non-coding RNA (894 nucleotides) under Homo sapiens (human). Its description in RNAcentral is "HSALNT0398561". The record is from RNAcentral. Lineage: Eukaryota; Metazoa; Chordata; Mammalia; Primates; Hominidae.